UUCCCUCUUCGUUUUUCCAGUUCGUUCAUGCACGCACUCUAUCUUUAUAUAUAUAUAUAUCCAUGGUAUAAACAUGCAUACCUAACCAAUAUACCGUAUGCCAGGCUAUGAGCGAGUCAACUUAUUGUAGAUGUGUGAAAUAAGUCAAUUAAGUGUAACUUUAUAAUUGUUGAUUACAAUGUGGUACUUGGUUAAUGAACAAGGUGUCCGCAUAUAUUUAAAACCAAAUCAAGAGACGUUAAUCGGCAGGAAGAAAGCUGACAUUGUUUUGCCAAAUGAUAAAUCAAUCAGCAAGGAACAUGCCUCAAUUAGCGUUACAAAAUUGGAGGAGAUAAGGAGUACUGAACCAACAUCUAUAUGUAAACUAAAAGACUUAAAGUCAAAAUAUGGUACUUUUAUCCUUCAUGAACAUGACAUAAUACAACUAACUGAAACUGAAUGUAUUUUAAAACACCAAGAUACAAUAAGAUUUGGUUUACAGAACCAUGUAUUUAAGGUGAUAAAUGUGCCUAUAAUAACAACAGUAUCUACUUUAUGUGAUAACGAGAUAGAAAGAUUAAAACAAUUGAUGGAAGAAAUUGAUGGUGUAAUAAUUACUGACAGCGAUUGGAGAAGGGCAUCCACUUAUUUAACAGUAGGAAAUGCUAUCUUAACACUAAAGCUUGCCUCUGCUAUGGCUUCUGCUCUACCAAUAGUGACAAUGAAAUAUUGGGACGAAGUUAAAUCUGCAAUAGAUAAUGGUCAGCAACUUCCAGAUUCAAAUAAUUUUGUUCCACCAAUUAAUGAACCAUUAAUCGCUAAAAAAAAGGUAUUGAUUUCUCCAAACAAGAAAAGAACGACGUUAUUUGAAAAUUUAACAUUUAUACAUUUUAGUACAACUCAAUAUAGGAAAUAUAAAAAAAUCAUUAGAAUAGCAGGUGGAAUACCACAAUUAUUUGAAAGAGCAAACCUAACAACUACAGAAUUUUGUAGCCCAAACGUGAUUGUACUACAAUAUUCAGACAAUGAUUCAACACAGAUCACAGAAAAUGUUUUCUGUACAUAUCAUUCAAUACAACAAGCAUUGAAAGCAAAUAAUUAUAGAAUGAUAGCUGAAGUUGAAAUUUGUCUUGCAAUAUUGCAUUGUUCGACAGAAAAAUAUUGCAAUCCUAUGUAUAAAUUCGCAAAGCUUUUAAAAAGAUCGGAACGAAAGAAUGAUUCAUGUGAGAUUUUAAAUCUUGAUACACAAGACGAAACAGCCAAAGUGUCAGCAUUACCAACUUCUUCGUUUUCGAUAUCGACACCCGUAAAACACCGUAUUAUUCCUGAAACAUUGGAUAUCAGUCAAGAACCAUUACCAAAUGUAAGUGGUGUUGUCAUAAAACCUACAGAAGAGCAAAAAUAUAAUAAAAUACAAUGCAUAAGAAAAACUCCUAAUGAUACUUCAGCAACAGAGAAUGUGCAAGUUACACGAUCAAGAGUAAUUUCCAACGUUUCGGCAACGACAUCCGUGAAAAUAAGACAACGUGUUAUUCCUGAAACAUUGAGUAGCAUCAGUAGUCAAGAAUCACAAUCAGAUGUACAUUAUAUUUUCACACAACCAACAGGAACACAAAGAUAUAAUGAAAUACAGUGCAUAAAAGAAACUCCUACUGAUGCUUCAGCAACAAUGAGAAAUGUGCAAGUUAAACAACCAAGUGUUAUUCCUGAAACAUUGAGCAGCAUUAGUAGCCAAGAAUUACAAUCAAAUUCAAAUUUUGCUGAUACACAACCUACAAGAAAGCAAAAAUGUAAUAAAUUACAAUACAUAGACGAAACUCCUGAUGCUUCAGCAACAGAGGCAAGUAUGCAAGAUAUACGAUCUAAUGAAAACAAUUCGACUUUUCCUAACAUGUUCUCACAAAUCAUUCGAUAUUCUAACCAUGAUAACCAGAAUUUACACAAACACGGUAAUGUACAGGAUAAGAGACAAUCAAAGGAAGUAAUAAUCUUAAGUGAUGAUGAAAUUGAACUAAAACCAGUACAGCAAAAUAAAAAUAAUAACACGAAUUCUAAUAAAGAUUUCAUACAUAAUACAUUGAAUAAUAUAUUUAAAACAAGUAAUUCAAGAGAUGAAAAUAGGCAAAUGCAACAAACAGCUCGAUUAACUGAUAAUCGUAUAGCUGCCACAAAUUUAAAAGAAAUGUGUGAGGUCAAUAAAAAAAUAGAAUUAAUAAAUGUGCACCCUGUAACACUAGAAGUAGAGAAAAAGCAUAAUAAAGAAACGACAUGUUCAGAAAAUUCAAUUACACCACAUACAACAGAACCACUAAAUACACCUGAAGAUUCUCUUAUAUGUUCUGUGGAAAAAGAAAAAAGGAAACAUAAAGCACAAAAUGUUAUAAGUUCCGCACUAAAAAGUAAUUCAUCACUUCGAGCUCAUCUUAAUUUCAAAGUGUUCAAAAAGGUUCCUGCUAUAGUUCCUCAGAAAAGGAUAAAAAUCGAUAAUAUAUUGAUGGCGUCUUGGAGAAACGUUAGUUUUACGCGGGAAGUCCAGCGAAACGGAACAUCUUCCAGAUCCCAUUAGGGAACAUUCGUGGUCGUGUGUAAUGUGAUCAGCAGAGUCAGUGUUUGCUACGUGAAGUUAUCUCCAAUAUUUUUGAGAUUAAGAUAGUUCUUAGUGAUCAUAAAUUGAAUCAGAAUUCAUACGCGAAUUUAAACGCCAGUGUUUGUCCGUCGCUUGUAAUUUAAACGAGCACGUUAAUAGUCUUUUAUCUUUUUUAUACACAUACACACACACGCGCGCGCGCGCGCGCACACACACACACACACGCGCGCGCGCGCACACACACACACACACACACAACACACAGAUAUAUUCUUCUUUUUAAAUACUCUUUUCCGGUAUUAGAAUCAGCCCUCCCCUCAAAAGGAUCCAACCUCUUUAAAAACCAAGAACUGUCGGUGCCUUCAUGAUGUUUCCCGGACAAAGAUAAUACUAAUAACAAUAUUCUUCGCACCUAGUGCGAGCAUGGCCUGCCUCCAUCUAUGCGUGUGCACAGUGGAUCCGUUCGCUGGUCGGAUGCAAUUACGGAUCGGGGCCGGACCGAGAAAAACGCCCAGUGCAUCGCUUGCCAAUUACUGGAAGGAAAGGCAAGGGAGUCUCCAAUUUGCUACUAACUUCUCUCAACGAAGGGCGGAAGCGGCACGGAAGGGUGUGGCACCCAGUUACCGAACGCGAAUUGCACGGAAGCCUUUGCGAAUGUGAACUGAGUGCAACAGUAUUUAUUAAUCUCUCAAAUGAUAACUCUUGAAGAAAUUAAUUGUGCAAAUUGAAGUAAAUCAAUUUGAGCGCGAUAAUAAUGAUCCACAAUGUGUUGAAUUAAAAGUACGUACAUAAUACGUAGAUUAAGGAUUUAAUUUAUAUUUAACAUACGAAAUGCUCGGUUGAACGCAUUUUUUACUUAAAUUAUGCGAAACAUUGCCGGGAGAAACACAAUGUAACAUUUUGACGUGUAACACGAACGUUGAUAACGUUCUGUUACAAUGGAAAAUAACAAGCUUUCUUUAUCGCGUAUUUCACGGUAGAAAAUGUGAUCGAUUGGCGUACGUGAUGGUGAAACUGAUACUAAAGAUAGGCACGCAAAGUACAAAUGUCAGAGUAAAUCAAUAAUAUAAAGGAACGUUGCUGCGAAACACAGAGCAAGUACUAUAAUAAAUACACUAGAUCAGAAGAAUUCUAAAAUUAAACAGAACAACGUAUAAAUACUACACUUAGACUGGAAUAUUAAACCUACUACGAAAAUGCUAUAUCAAAAAUACAUCCAAUGUUAAAAAUAGAAUUCAAUAAUGUUACAAAUAACCACUAAUGUAUACAACAAUGUGUAAACGAAAGAACUGUUUGGCCAAUUUAAAAUAAAUUCACUGAAGAAGGUUGCAAAUUUUGAUCUGUCGUUGUUCUUUGAUGGAUC
Molecule: RNA transcript, 3929 nt
Organism: Bombus impatiens (common eastern bumble bee)
Lineage: Eukaryota; Metazoa; Arthropoda; Insecta; Hymenoptera; Apidae
Gene: nbs
Exons: 14
Source: RefSeq, a predicted model, not a curated record